AGCGCCCGCAAGGGGAGCGGCAGACGGGUGAGUAACGCGUGGGAAUCAACCCAUCUCUACGGAACAACUCCGGGAAACUGGAGCUAAUACCGUAUACGUCCUUCGGGAGAAAGAUUAUCGGAGAGGGAUGAGCCCGCGUUGGAUUAGCUAGUUGGUGGGGUAAUGGCCUACCAAGGCGACGAUCCAUAGCUGGUCUGAGAGGAUGAUCAGCCACACUGGGACUGAGACACGGACCAGACUCCUACGGGAGGCAGCAGUGGGGACUAUUGGACAAUGGGCGAAAGCCUGAUCCAGACAUGCCGCGUGAGUGAUGAAGGCCCUAGGGUUGUAAAGCUCUUUCAACGGUGAAGAUAAUGACGGUAACCGUAGAAGAAGCCCCGGCUAACUUCGUGCCAGAAGCCGCGGUAAUACGAAGGGGGCUAGCGUUGUUCGGAAUUACUGGGCGUAAAGAGCACGUAGGCGGAUACUUAAGUCAGGCGUGAAAUCCCGGGGCUCAACCCCGGAACUGGCUUUGAUACUGGGUAUCUGGAGUCCGGAAGAGGUGAGUGGAAUUCCGAGUG
RNAcentral lists this ribosomal RNA (560 nucleotides) under uncultured Mesorhizobium sp. Its description in RNAcentral is "bacterial SSU rRNA". It matches the Rfam family "Bacterial small subunit ribosomal RNA", at positions 65 to 675 of the family's 1533-position model. Lineage: Bacteria; Pseudomonadati; Pseudomonadota; Alphaproteobacteria; Hyphomicrobiales; Phyllobacteriaceae. The record is from RNAcentral.